This is a long non-coding RNA of Mytilus trossulus (common blue mussel), 1278 nucleotides long. RefSeq lists it as uncharacterized. The transcript is spliced from 3 exons. The record is from RefSeq and is a predicted model, not a curated record. Lineage: Eukaryota; Metazoa; Mollusca; Bivalvia; Mytilida; Mytilidae.
CAAAGUGUUGACAAAGCGUUAAAAGGGAGGUACAAAUGUUAAUACGUAUUCUAAAAGGUUUGGCAAUUGUCACAAUGUCACCUUUUAUACAAAAUGUAUGUGUUCGUGCCUCAAGUUAAGAGUUUCAUUAAUGUCUGAAAGAUUUUAAUGGAGCUGUAUAGAUCUUUUGUGGUCACAAAUUGUAUUACGGCAAAACUAACGGGAUGACUUCAUAAACCCAUCCUCUGUUUGUUAUUCAUAAUGGUUCAUAUAUAUUUGCGUCGACUUAACAAUCGAUACCAGCACUGUAUAAACUUUUCGACAUACAAUGACUAAAUUAAAUUUGACAUUUCAAUUAAACUGUGUAUUAGUUUACUAUGAACGUCGAGUUAAUCAAGUACAUAAGUGUUGAAAACCGUCACGCUAAAUGCCUAAGAAUCCCGAAUAAAAAGUAAUAAAUCGCCAUCAAAGGGACGUGUUGGUAGUUAUUCUAUAUAUUGAGGAUUUUGUCAAAUCAUUGAAGUCGUCUGUCAUUGCAGUUAAAAGAACUGAUUUGAAGAUAUAUACCUUGGAUACGUAAAUGUUUGAACUGAGGCGGUUGACCUUCAUCGCCGAACAAGUUCCGAAAAUGAAGAUCGCGAGAAGGAAUAUACAGAAAAAAAUUUGCCCCCAGUAGCAGUAUUUGAUCCUGUAACGAAUUUAGUGUUAGAUUCUAAAAGGAUAAGCGUGGAGUUUUGUUUAAUUAAGAGGAAAAUUAAGCACGAUAUUUCAAUCAUUCGUAACAGUUUUCGAGUUUUAAACUUAUUUCUGUGGUGCAUGAUAAUUUAAAAGGAAAAAGUUGUGAGAAACUUUUCUUGGUGUCUAAAGUUAAUAUACCGAAAGAUAUAGAAUUGGUUUUGGACUAUGGAUAGACCAAGAGAGAUAGGAUUCUAGGAAACCCUUGAAUGACCGGAUAACUCUGUCGCUUCUAAAUUAAAUGUAAAAUGUCAAUUAUCAAUUGAGGCUAUAAAUUGUACAUGUACAGUGACAAAUGAUAACAGUGUGAAUGUGAAAAAUUGUGAGCUCUGCACAUCUACCUCAAGCAAUUUUCGUGCUAAUGGCAGAAUAAAGUAAUUAAAAUAGCUACCAAGGUGGAAAUCAUCAGAAAUUUAUGUAAAGAGGAACCUCCUAAAAGAAAAGACAAUUCUGAAACAAAAUCAACUAAUGUACAAAAGAUUGAUGAAACUCAUCAACAAAGGACAAACAACACAAACACCUCUUAUGUUGUCCCGAAAAAACGUCAGAUCAAGCACAGAAAUU